This is a non-coding RNA of Megalobrama amblycephala (Wuchang bream), 836 nucleotides long. Lineage: Eukaryota; Metazoa; Chordata; Actinopteri; Cypriniformes; Xenocyprididae. The record is from the annotation of a RefSeq genome assembly.
UCAUUAUUUCUUCAGUUUUAACAGAGUGCAGUUCAAUAUGAUCCAGAAUGUGUUUGUGUAUUUGGUUUUUAAGCAGCACAUAUAGGUCCCCAUCACACACUCUCUGAUGUCUUUCUUUCAAGGCUCUUGUUCUUGUGUUCAAAACUGUCACUUCCAACCAAUCACCUGCAUCUGAACCAAAGAUGAAGACACUGAAGACACACCUCUUCUGUGAGCUCUGAACUAAAGCAUUAGCAUCGGAGCACAGAGAACAUGAACAGAUCUGUAGAAACAUGGAAAAACACCUGUUUCUGAUUUUAUUUCUGACUUCAGGUGUGAUGACUGCAGACAAGAUUGGGCCAAAUAAAGAAACUAACAUUAUAAAUAAGGAAGACGAGACUGUGACCCUCAGCUGCUCAUAUGAAACAGACAGCAAUUAUGUUUAUCUUUACUGGUACAGACAGUAUCCUAACAGUGAACCUCAGUAUUUAUUAUUUAAACCUGCCCGAUCAGGUACUGCAAGUGGGGACCCCUCUGAUCCUCGCUUUCAGUCGACUGCAUCUCAAACAUCCACUGAACUCAAGAUUAACGGUGUGACUCUGUCAGAUUCAGCUCUCUAUUAUUGUGCUCUUGAAGUAGCCCAGUGAUACAAAGUCUAUGUGAAGCUGUACAAAAACUUGAACUCAUUUUUCACGUUGAUCUCAAGCCACAUCAAACCCACAAUCUAUAAUUCACAUAAUAUUAUUACACCAGUGGAAACACCUGUGUGUGGUUACAAAUGACAUCUAGUUCAAGUUAUAAAGGGAAAUUGAAAGAAAAAGUGAAAAGAUCAAAAUAACAUGUUGUGGAUUGCUAUU